GGUCCCACUUGGAUGCAUCAGAACCCUAAUCCCUCGGACCAUAAACUCGAUACUUGAGCUUGUGGCUAAAUUAGUGGGGGAAUCUGAAGGCAAAGAAGAUGAAGUCAGGUCAUGUUUAGGCGACGAAGAGAUGGCUGCGGCAGGUGAAGGUGUGAUGCUUGCCAUAGCUGAACAACUAUCUUGCCCUGGAGAUGCAAUGGAGGGAUUAUGAUUGCUAACUACAGAAUUUGCUGCCAGCAAUUCCAAUAUUUUUAUUCUCUUGGAAAGAAAAUGCAAAAAUAGUGCUCAUCAGUUGAAGCCAGCAAACCUUUUUCUCUGGAAUUGGAAAGCAGACAAGAAGGCAUUUGGUAAAUAUAUUGGCCCAUUAGAAUAUAGGAACAGGUAGGAAAUGACAUCAAAAGAAGGUUCUGAAACUAGGAGUGGUUUUCUAUUCUUCAACAAAACUAUAGAGUAACCUUGCGGUUACCUCCUCCCUCAGUGAAGAUUUUGUGAGUUCAUCUUAUAUCACAGUUAAAGCUUCUACUUGGAGGCAGGUGUUAUUCAUGUCAAAUCAUCUAAAAUAGCAUGGAGACGCAAGUUUGAGUUACUCUCUAUCCUGAUUUACCGACUUGUACUCUAAGAUAGUAAAAAACGUUUGAUAUCUGUACACUGUUCUAUGGUGUCAUAUGCAUGCACACAUCUGCCAUGGAUAUGCAUAAAGACACAACAUAAACCCGCAUCCCCAUUGAGCACCAGUCAACGUCUUCGAGCUGUGUA
Long non-coding RNA from Populus trichocarpa (black cottonwood), 756 nucleotides. RefSeq lists it as uncharacterized. The transcript has 3 exons. NCBI's taxonomy places the organism in Eukaryota, Viridiplantae, Streptophyta, Magnoliopsida, Malpighiales, Salicaceae. The record is from RefSeq and is a predicted model, not a curated record.